RNAcentral lists this unclassified non-coding RNA (388 nucleotides) under Hevea brasiliensis (rubber tree). The record is from RNAcentral. Lineage: Eukaryota; Viridiplantae; Streptophyta; Magnoliopsida; Malpighiales; Euphorbiaceae.
CUCCAUGGAUGGUAUAGAAGAUGGCCAUGAACAUACCAAAAAACUCUCUGCAGCUGCCGCAAGAAAACCCUCCAAGGGUGGCUGGAAUUCGGCCAUUUUCAUCAUUGUUGUGGAAGUAGCAGAGAGAUUUGCUUUCUACGGUUUGUCUGGAAAUCUCAUAACAUACCUCACAAAUGAUCUCCAUGAGUCCACAGCCACCGCAGCAGCCAAGAACGUCAACACCUGGAUUGGUGUCUCCUCCAUCUUCCCUAUACUCGGAGCAUUUCUUGCCGAUUCCUUUCUUGGCCGGUUCAAGACCAUUCUCUUAUCCACAAUCAUAUAUUUCACAGGCUUGGUUCUGUUAACCUUAUCAGUCUCAAUAAUCCCUAUGAGUCACCGUGAAGCUGUG